CCUACGGGAGGCAGCAGUAGGGAAUUUUCCGCAAUGGGCGAAAGCCUGACGGAGCAAUACCGCGUGAGGGAAGAAUGCCUACGGGUUGUAAACCUCUUUUUUCAGGGAGGAACAUAAUGACGUGUACCUGAAGAAUAAGCAUCGGCUAACUCCGUGCCAGCAGCCGCGGUAAGACGGAGGAUGCAAGUGUUAUCCGGAAUCACUGGGCGUAAAGCGUCUGUAGGUGGUUUAAUAAGUCAACUGUUAAAUCUUGAGGCUCAACCUCAAAAUCGCAGUCGAAACUAUUAGACUAGAGUAUAGUAGGGGUAAAGGGAAUUUCCAGUGGAGCGGUGAAAUGCGUAGAGAUUGGAAAGAACACCGAUGGCGAAAGCACUUUACUAGGCUAUUACUGACACUCAGAGACGAAAGCUAGGGUAGCAAAUGGGAUUAGAUACCCCAGUAGUCCUAGCUGUAAACUAUGGAUACUAGAUGUUGAACAGAUCGACCUGUGCAGUAUCAAAGCUAACGCGUUAAGUAUCCCGCCUGGGAAGUAUGCUCGCAAGGGUGAAACUUAAAGGAAUUGACGG
This 566-nucleotide ribosomal RNA is filed under the name uncultured bacterium. RNAcentral's name for it is "bacterial SSU rRNA". It matches the Rfam family "Bacterial small subunit ribosomal RNA", at positions 338 to 916 of the family's 1533-position model. The record is from RNAcentral.